CUGUUUUUCUGGACAAACUUAAAAAUGCUGAAUCUUUGUAGUCAUUUAAGAAAUAAUUAAUGCCAUAUCUCAAGGUACGCAAAGCUCAGAAGCGGUCUGGGUGAGCAUGGGUGUAGGAGACUGCUUGGCCCUGUUGUGGGCACCCUUGCCAUUGUCCUUAGCCCAUCAGAGACAGGCACUCCUAUUUCGUGUCAGAGGUUCUGCUUCAUUAGUGAUCACAAAGCAAAUGAUGAUGACACAAUCAGAAGUGUCAGAUGACAGGCACUUAUGCAGCCACCCUUCCACGAAUGAUUCCCUAUUUUCUUCUUGUUGUCUGAUCUCCUACUGGAUGAAGUCUAUAACUUCCUGGCUCCUCAUACAUCCCAAAUACCAUCACAGAAAUCAAAAGAACUUAUAUGAGUUUGUUUGACCCUGGGCUUUCUCUCAGGCAACAAGGGCACAUAAAGUCUUAAGUACUAUAAGGCCUCUCCAAAGAUGAAGCUAAGACUCCAGCUGCAGUAUCUCAAAUAGGCUCUUUAGCUUGUCAUUUAUGAAGGUUUGUCGUCUUUACUUUGAACCAUUUUGCUUUUCUUGAAAACUGUGUGUGUGGUGUGUGUAAUGUUAUUAAAAAGAAAAUUAAUGGAGAGGUGAAAUGGUU
Molecule: long non-coding RNA, 637 nt
Organism: Pan paniscus (pygmy chimpanzee)
Lineage: Eukaryota; Metazoa; Chordata; Mammalia; Primates; Hominidae
Source: Ensembl